Molecule: transfer RNA, 79 nt
Filed under: Shimwellia blattae DSM 4481 = NBRC 105725
Lineage: Bacteria; Pseudomonadati; Pseudomonadota; Gammaproteobacteria; Enterobacterales; Enterobacteriaceae
Description: tRNA-Thr
Rfam family: tRNA
About the family: Transfer RNA (tRNA) molecules are approximately 80 nucleotides in length.
Source: RNAcentral
GCUGAUAUGGCUCAGUUGGUAGAGCGCACCCUUGGUAAGGGUGAGGUCCCCAGUUCGACUCUGGGUAUCAGCACCACUU